This 124-nucleotide small nucleolar RNA is filed under the name Macleaya cordata. RNAcentral describes it as "Small nucleolar RNA snoR111". It matches the Rfam family "Small nucleolar RNA snoR111". The record is from Rfam by way of RNAcentral. Lineage: Eukaryota; Viridiplantae; Streptophyta; Magnoliopsida; Ranunculales; Papaveraceae.
CAGAAAAAUGAGAGGAUUAAUUUAGUACCUCUCGUUACAAGGAAACAGAGGAAGAAAGAUAAGGUGAGAUAUCGUUUCAGUCGUCCAGUUUUUGAUUGGCGAUCUGAUUGUUGCUCCUCUACAU